Molecule: long non-coding RNA, 1962 nt
Filed under: Gallus gallus (chicken)
Lineage: Eukaryota; Metazoa; Chordata; Aves; Galliformes; Phasianidae
Description: lncRNA (ENSGALG00010021508.1)
Source: RNAcentral
CCAGCUGGGAGAGUUCAAAUAUGAAAGCUGUACUAAUGUUUCUGUUCUUGUUAGUAUUCUUGCUAGGACUGGGAGAAGAGUCUGGAUUAUGAAGAGGAGUGGGGAGUAUUAAUUUUCAUUUACUGAACUGCCUAGAAAUAAUUUGAACCACCCACACAGCAGAACAAGCUGAUGUCAGAGCCAGUGAGGUUAUCAACACCAAUAAAAAAGCAGUUGUCACACAGAUUAGACAUUACAUGUUAGCAAAAAACUGCUGGUAUAUUAUUUUUAUGCAAAUUGAAAGUAUUUCUAUAACCUCUGACCCUGCCUGUAAACAUCAGAUUCCAGGAAUUCUGCUGGAAACCAUACAUUACUAAGGUAAAAUAAUACUUAGUAGUGAACAUGGUUUCCUCAGUAGAAGAAUCUGGAAGUGGAAGAAUGUAAGACCUUGAAAUGCACUGCUGAGUGCAAGGAAACUGCUGAGGCCACCUCCUGCCAAACAUCUGGGAAAACACACACCCCUUCAGAGCUGCCAGUGGAAAUAUGUAAACCACACACGGCUGUGAUGCAUGAGCACCUCGUUAACAUGCUAUCAGGCGUUCCCAGAUAGCAGCUGCGCAGGGCCAGGAGUAAGUGGACACGCAAUUUCAGCUUGCUCUGACAUGAAACGGGAAGUCAUCGGAGGUAUUCAAAGAACUAAGUGGAAGGACAGGGAGGUUAUUUUAAGGACAGCAGAAGAAAUGAGGAAAAAGUUGGUGAGAAUGGGAAAGAUAGAAAAUGCAGCAGCAGUCCAAAAGGAAAAAUCUCCUUGGAACUGGAGAGGAUUUCACUGAGUGGUGAGGAAAGAGCUGGAAGGUGGUCAGAGGAGGAAAUAUGGAUCUUGGAUAGAAGCUAUACAUAGAAGUGAACAAGAGGAAUGCAAAGUGGAUGUCUGUGCCUUGAAGGUUUGCUCGAAGGUGCAGUGCUGGAGUGUUGAGCCAGCAGAGCCAUCAUGAGCAGCAGCUGUGCCAAAUCCAUCACUAGCAGCUGGGGCUGCUGAGAGCUGCAGUGGCCAUUACAGGAUUUGAGCAGGUUUUGCUGCUAGGUUUGAAGCUGUACCUUCAUUCUUCUGAGGCUGAUCUGCAGGGCUGCUGCUGGAGAAAUACAGGUAUUGUAGCAAGUAGUUUUUUGUUUGUUUGCUUUUUUUAAUGUAGCAGUGGUGUAAGGGGUGAGUUUAAGAGGUGGGGAGUAGAGAGGUAAGGGCAUUUAGAUGUGUGAAGGGACAUGGUUUAGGGUGGAAAGAUUGGUGGUGGGUGAAUGGUUGGACUGCAUGAUGUUGGAGGUCUUUUCCAACCUUGGUGAUUCUGUGAUUUGCAUAUGUGUGUAUUAAGCAGAGAGGCUGGUCAAAUUGCUUCUUUGUUGUGAAAUAUAAUGCAGCAUUGGAAGGAGUCAGAAGAAUUCACUGUUCCCUUGUAAAACCUCUGAGAUGUGAAGUGUGUAUUUUCCCUGUGUUGGUUAUGCAGUCUGUGCAGGCACUUGGGAUUUCUAGCGGUUUUCUAAUAUGAGGGACGAAGAUGUUCAGGUUUAUUUGUGGCUGUACUAUUUCUUGUUGUAGUUGAUGGAAUUUUCCAUCAGGUUUCUGUUGUGCUAGAUUGCAUUUGAAUGCCUGAAUCUGAGUCUGCCCCACCAAAAAAAAAAAAAAAAAGACUUGUUAUCAUUGCAAAAUACAAGGUGUUUUAUAUUUUGUGAGUUCUUUGGUACGAUAGAAUGUGGAAAAAAUAAAGUAUGCUACCGUGUUGAUAUGUAAUGGAAGAAUCUUAUGCAAUACUGAAAAAUAUGAUGCGUGAAAUCUUUCCUACACUCAAGCAUAAAGAGUAUAUAUAUAUACUUUAGACUCUUAGUUUUAGCAGAAACUGCUGUUACACUUCACUGUAUGUUGAUGUAUAGGGUCACUUUUAUUAUUUUACUCAGAAAAAUAAAAUGAGAUGAUCUAGUAAAGACAAA